GAUGAACGCUGGCUACAGGCUUAACACAUGCAAGUCGAGGGGAAACGACGGGGAAGCUUGCUUCCCCGGGCGUCGACCGGCGCACGGGUGAGUAACGCGUAUCCAACCUGCCUCUGACUGAGGGAUAACCCGUCGAAAGUCGGCCUAAUACCUCAUGGUAUCGUCUGCGGGCAUCCAACGACGAUUAAAGAUUUCAUCGGUCAGGGAUGGGGAUGCGUCUGAUUAGCUUGUUGGCGGGGUAACGGCCCACCAAGGCUACGAUCAGUAGGGGUUCUGAGAGGAAGGUCCCCCACAUUGGAACUGAGACACGGUCCAAACUCCUACGGGAGGCAGCAGUGAGGAAUAUUGGUCAAUGGGCGAGAGCCUGAACCAGCCAAGUAGCGUGCAGGAAGACGGCCCUAUGGGUUGUAAUCUGCUUUUAUGCGGGGAUAAAGUGAGGGACGUGUCCCUCAUUGCAGGUACCGCAUGAAUAAGGACCGGCUAAUUCCGUG
Molecule: ribosomal RNA, 491 nt
Filed under: uncultured bacterium
Lineage: Bacteria
Description: partial 16S ribosomal RNA
Rfam family: Bacterial small subunit ribosomal RNA
Source: RNAcentral